GGCGCUGUGGCGUAGUGGGUAAAGCCGCUGCCUGCAGUGCCAGCAUCUGAUAUAGGCUCAGGUUCAAGUCCUGGCUGCUCCA
Molecule: transfer RNA, 82 nt
Filed under: Oryctolagus cuniculus (rabbit)
Lineage: Eukaryota; Metazoa; Chordata; Mammalia; Lagomorpha; Leporidae
Rfam family: tRNA
About the family: Transfer RNA (tRNA) molecules are approximately 80 nucleotides in length. Their secondary structure includes four short double-helical elements and three loops (D, anti-codon, and T loops).
Source: Rfam by way of RNAcentral